GAUGAACGCUGGCGGCGUGCCUAACACAUGCAAGUCGAGCGAAGCGCUUAAAUUAGAUUUCUUCGGAAUGACGAUUUUUGUGGCUGAGCGGCGGACGGGUGAGUAACGCGUGGGUAACCUGCCUCAUACAGGGGGAUAACAGUUAGAAAUGACUGCUAAUACCGCAUAAGACCCCAGCUUCGCAUGAAGCGGUGGUAAAAACUCCGGUGGUAUGAGAUGGACCCGCGUCUGAUUAGCUAGUUGGUAAGGUAACGGCUUACCAAGGCGACGAUCAGUAGCCGACCUGAGAGGGUGACCGGCCACAUUGGGACUGAGACACGGCCCAGACUCCUACGGGAGGCAGCAGUGGGGAAUAUUGCACAAUGGGGGAAACCCUGAUGCAGCGACGCCGCGUGAAGGAUGAAGUAUUUCGGUAUGUAAACUUCUAUCAGCAGGGAAGAAAGUGACGGUACCUGACUAAGAAGCCCCGGCUAACUACGUG
RNAcentral lists this ribosomal RNA (481 nucleotides) under uncultured bacterium. Its description in RNAcentral is "partial 16S ribosomal RNA". It matches the Rfam family "Bacterial small subunit ribosomal RNA", at positions 28 to 507 of the family's 1533-position model. The record is from RNAcentral.